CUCAGGUGUUGAUGCCCCUGCUCAGAGAGCACAAUACCCACCCAGCCCUGGGCAGGGCUGGUUUGUCUGCUGGGACCUGCAAGCUGUGGCUUAUCCUCCAGGGCUUCACCGAGGAGACUUCCUUGGGUUUAUAAAUGACUGCAUUUCCCUUCGGCAUGACAGCUGCAGCUUCACCUCUUCUCGUGUGAACCUGGAGUCAGAAGGCUGUGUAAAAACAACUUGGAAUAAUCUUGAAACCCAUAGAGGGCCAAGCCAGAGAAAAGGAGCCAACACCUUUGGGCAAAGAAAACCAGAAAAUCUGCGGAGAAGAGCCAGGAAGAAGGGAGGGAAUAUAUUUUCAUGGAAAAAUCUACCUCUAAAACAACAUGCUCUCCUGAAAAGAAAUGCUUUAGGGUUUGAUCAGAGUCUUGAGAGGAGCGAGUCCAAGGAAUAGCAGCCACUUGUUUUAUACACAAGCUACUGGAAAACAGACAGGAUCUCUUCAUUUAGCUGAGAUGGC
RNAcentral lists this long non-coding RNA (499 nucleotides) under Junco hyemalis (dark-eyed junco). Its description in RNAcentral is "lncRNA (ENSJHYG00000012830.1)". The record is from RNAcentral. Lineage: Eukaryota; Metazoa; Chordata; Aves; Passeriformes; Passerellidae.